AUACUGAGUGGCAGACGGGUGAGUAUAAUGUGGGAAUCUGCCUUUUGGUUCGGAAUAACACGAGGAAACUUGUGCUAAUACCGGAUAAGCCCUUACGGGGAAAGUUUUAAUGCCAAAAGAUGAGCCCGCACUUGAUUAGCUAGUUGGUAAGGUAAUGGCUUACCAAGGCAACGAUCAAUAGCUGUUCUUAGAGGAAGACCAGCCACAUUGGGACUGAGACACGGCCCAAACUCCUACGGGAGGCAGCAGUGGGGAAUCUUGCACAAUGGGGGAAACCCUGAUGCAGCGAUGCCGCGUGAGUGAAGAAGGCCCUUGGGUUGUAAAACUCUUUCGUCGGGGAAGAAAAUGACUGUACCCGAAUAAGAAGGUCCGGCUAACUUCGUGCCAGCAGCCGCGGUAAUACGAAGGGACCUAGCGUAGUUCGGAAUUACUGGGCUUAAAGAGUUCGUAGGUGGUUAAAAAAGUUGAUGGUGAAAUCCCAAGGCUCAACCUUGGAACUGCCAUCAAAACUUUUUAGCUAGAGUGUGAUAGAGGAAAGUGGAAUUUCUAGUGUAGAGGUGAAAUUCGUAGAUAUUAGAAAGAACAUCAAAAGCGAAGGCAACUUUCUGGAUCAUUACUGACACUGAGGAACGAAAGCAUGGGUAGCGAAGAGGAUUAGAUACCCUCGUAGUCCAUGCCGUAAACGAUGUGUGCUAGACGUUGGAAACUUAGUUUUCAGUGUCGCAGCGAAAGCAUUAAGCACACCGCCUGGGGAGUACGACCGNCAGGUUAAAACUCAAAUGAAUUGACGGGGACCCGCACAAGUAGUGGAGCA
Molecule: ribosomal RNA, 814 nt
Filed under: uncultured Alphaproteobacteria bacterium
Lineage: Bacteria; Pseudomonadati; Pseudomonadota; Alphaproteobacteria
Description: bacterial SSU rRNA
Rfam family: Bacterial small subunit ribosomal RNA
Source: RNAcentral